Molecule: small RNA, 129 nt
Filed under: uncultured eukaryote
Lineage: Eukaryota
Description: partial Betaproteobacteria transfer-messenger RNA
Source: RNAcentral
CGUGGACGUACCUCUCGGAGGAGCUCGCCAGCGCCCUGGACGGGGACCUGAUCCCCCCCGCGGCCAAGGCGCUCAUCGUGCAGAAGGGCAUGGACGGGGCGCUGGACUGGACCGCCAAGGUGACUAAGG